This 498-nucleotide ribosomal RNA is filed under the name uncultured bacterium. RNAcentral's name for it is "partial 16S ribosomal RNA". It matches the Rfam family "Bacterial small subunit ribosomal RNA", at positions 28 to 508 of the family's 1533-position model. The record is from RNAcentral.
GACGAACGCUGGCGGCGUGCCUAAUACAUGCAAGUUGAGCGAUGAAGAUUGGUGCUUGCACCAAUUUGAAGAGCAGCGAACGGGUGAGUAACGCGUGGGGAAUCUGCCUUUGAGCGGGGGACAACAUUUGGAAACGAAUGCUAAUACCGCAUAACAACUUUAAACAUAAGUUUUAAGUUUGAAAGAUGCAAUUGCAUCACUCAAAGAUGAUCCCGCGUUGUAUUAGCUAGUUGGUGAGGCAAAGGCUCACCAAGGCGAUGAUACAUAGCCGACCUGAGAGGGUGAUCGGCCACAUUGGGACUGAGACACGGCCCAAACUCCUACGGGAGGCAGCAGUAGGGAAUCUUCGGCAAUGGACGAAAGUCUGACCGAGCAACGCCGCGUGAGUGAAGAAGGUUUUCGGAUCGUAAAACUCUGUUGGUAGAGAAGAACGUUGGUGAGAGUGGAAAGCUCAUCAAGUGACGGUAACUACCCAGAAAGGGACGGCUAACUACGUGC